GAAGAAGAAGAAGAAGAAGAAGACGACGUUUCGUGAUUUAUGGACUAUUUAAUCAUCUUAUCAAGAAUCAUCCUGAAGACACAGCAGUGGACUGACUGAGACCCUCAGAUGUGAACCACCUGAAACCACAUGAGGAACCAAGAGGGACCCGAUUCUGUGGGUUAGAAUGUGGGAGGAGAUCCUCCAGAGGACCUACCUGUCUGUCUGACUGAGUCCACCAUGUACCCGGUCCUCACCUGUCUCCCCCUCGUCGUCCUGCUGGCCUCCAGCUGGUCUCAGACCAGCGGGCAGUUUGAGGUGUGCCGGUCUCUGCGGGGCUCGGAGGCGGGGCCUGGCUCGGAGAUCUACCCCUGUCAGCCCCCACCCGCCAACAUGAAGGAGGUGAUGCAGAUCAGAGUGGACCCCCCAGGGAUCACCUGUGGGAACCCACCUGAGAGGUUCUGCACUCUGGAGAACCCGUACCUGUGCAGCGAUGAGUGUGAUGCGUCCAGCCCCGACCUGUCUCACCCUCCUCAGCUGAUGGGAGACAGGGAGAGAGGGGGGCUCAUCACCUACUGGCAGACGGUCACGUGGUCAAGGUAUCCUGAGCCCCUAUUGGCCAACAUCACUCUGUCCUGGAACAAGAGCCUGGAGGUGGUCGAUGACAUCGUCGUCACCUUCGAGUACGGCCGACCAACCAGCAUGGUGCUGGAAAAAUCCAUGGACAAAGUGCAGACAGCACCUCCUCCUGUAGUGCAGACAGCACCUCCUCCUGUAGUGUACCACUUCAGGAGACUCAGGGACCAUGUGACCCGUCAGCUGCUCAUGGGUACAGGCUCGCCUCCUCCAGUAGGGUUGUGGUUCUGCCUCAUAGUCCAACAUCAAGGGGGGACGUGGCAGCCGUAUCAGUUCUAUGCUGACGACUGUCUGGAGGCCUUCGGCAUGUCUCCUAAACGGGUCUCGGACUUAGCGCCCAGUAACCUGACCCGGGUCAUCUGUACCGAGGAGUACUCCCGCUGGUUGGGAGCCAAGGAGGAGAAGGUGAUGGUGUUCGAGGUGCGCGCUCGCUUUGCGGUGUUUGCAGGUCCAAAGCUGAUCAACAUGGACGCCCUUUACACCCGGAUGGAGACCAUGACGGGCCUGAAGGACUUCUUCAGCUUCACCAACCUGCGCCUGAGACUGCUGUGCCCGGCGCUGGGGGGGACCUUCGUCCAGAGGAACCAACUGCUCAAGUACUUCUACGCCAUCUCCAAUAUCGACGUACCGGCCAGGUGUAAGUGUCACCUGCACGCGUCGCGCUGCGUGCUACGUGACGCCGCGCUGCAGUGUGAGUGUGAACACAACACCAGAGGACAGAACUGUGAGCUCUGCAGCCAACGGGUCACAACACGCAGCUGGAGACCAGGAUCAUACCUACCCCUACCCAGAGGGACCGCCAACACCUGUGAGGCAGCAGAAACAGCAGCCAUGACUCCGCCCUCUGACUCCACCUCCUCACCAGACAAUGAAGACUCCCCCUUCUCUGGAACUGGUACUACAAACUUGAUCACCAGUUCUACUGUACCUACUGAUGGGUCUGCAUCAUCAACUGGAACAACAACAACAACAACCCUCUCUGGAGACACUGUAUCCAUUGUGUCAGACCCAACCAAUCAGACUGGAGAUGCUCCACCCACAACAUGAGCUGACACAAGUUCUCCUGAUGUUCCUCCAGACACUCUGAUUAAUAUACGUCCUCCCGAUGUACCUCCCGAUGUACGACCUCUUGAUUUACCUCCAAUUGAUGUACCACUGGAGGUACCCCCUUCCAAUGUCCCUCCACCUGACGAAGCUCCAUCUAAUGUAUCUCCUCUAGAUGUACCUUUUCCAAAUAAACCUUUUCUAGAUCUGCCUCCUGCAGCUGUACCUUCUCGUAAUGUACCUCCUUCAAAUGUUCCUCUGGAUGUGCCCUCCUCUAGAACUCCAGAUAUUUGGAUAGAUGUAUCUUCUCCCGGUGUACCUUCCACCGGUGUACCUCCCUCAACUAUAGCUUCCCCUGAUGACCCUUCCCCGGAUGUACGUCCUCCAGAUGUACUUCCUUCUGAUGUACCUACCCCUGAGGAACGUCCUCCAGAUGUUCCUCCUCCUGAUGUAUCUCAGCCUGAUGAACGUCCUCCAGAUGUUCCUCCUCUGGAUGUACCUUCCCCUGAUGAAUGUCCUCCAGAUGUUCCUCCUCUGGAUGUACUGCCUCCUAAUGCUCUUGAAGAAUUCUUGUUGCAUGCUUCCGAGGGAGGAAGUGAUGCUGUACUAGACACAAGCACCACCACCUUAAAUCUGUCUGACCCUGCUGGUGAUUUAUUCCCUGUUGACUUCAACUUCCCUUUUCCGGAUGAUCCAAAUUCAGCUGACCCUGAACCAGAUUCUGGACCAGUGCCUGUUGGUGAUCCUGGGAAAAUUUCAGAUGAUUCCCGUCAAUCUGUUUUGGUUCCUGGAACAAAUUCCCUCGAUUCUGGACUAGAUUCUGUCUCAACAGGGCUAGAUACUGAGGAUGCAGGCAAUGGUGGAAUAGAAUCAACUGGACCAGAUUCCCCUGCACCAGAUACUACAGGUGCUGGUCUAGAUUCUAGACUGGAUUCUCUUACAGCGGUAGAUGAUCAAGAAGUAGAUUAUCCUGCAUCUCAGAUGAAAGGAAAGUCUUCUGGAGAGGAUUCAGCUGCCGGUGGACCAGCAGAAGGUUAAGAGUUGGAUGAAAAGAAAGACUCUGAACAAGAGAAGAUCGGAGAACGAAAGGCGGAGAAAGGUACGGAGCACUGACUCAGAAAAAAGUGUAUGAUACAUCUAAGAACACUGGCCGCUCAUUCAGAGAAUAUUUCUAAUUGAGAUAGAGCUUCAUCAAGAACAACAAGCAGGUAUCAAGUCAGCUAAUUAGUUUUCAUCACACGUCCUGAUUAAGCUGCUGGUGACGUGUUCUGGAGGUUGUUAACAUGUUACACAUUGUUAGUCCCAAUAGAAAAAGAGACGCUCAGGAAGAUGUGGAACUCAGUAAACUUGAGUUUCUAUCAGAGCAACUGCAUUGUGAAGGUUUAUAGGGCAGCAUCUUCAAACUUUCCUCAAAUAAACAUUAGAAAUGUUUCCUACUCUGUUGAACCAAACAGUCACUGAAGCCAAAGAGGAAACAAGAGAAGGAAACAAGGAGAAAGAUGGCAAAGGCUACGAGAAAAAAGAAGAUUCUGAUUCCAGGAGGACCCAAAUUUAGUCAGCUGUCCGAAAUUGCCUAUGUCACCUUCCAGGGUAAGACCACCUUUAAGCACUACAGGUACACUACAGGUAGAAUACAGAUACACUGCAGGUACACUAAAGGUAGAAUACAGGUAUACUACAGGUGCACUACAGGUACACUACAGGUACACAGACGUCUCCAUCUCCAUCAGUCUUCAUGAGUCUCCUGCCUGUCUGCCUGUCACUAUUUACAUCAACACAUUCCUCCAGUUGUGAUGCUGUAUCCAGGUGUGUUCCAGGUGUGUUCCAGGUGUACUGACAGGUGUCUGUUCCCCCGUCAGACUGUGAGUGUAACGGUCACUCCAACCGCUGCAGCUACAUUGACUUUAUCAACACGGUGACGUGUGUGAGCUGCAAGCACAAUACACGAGG
This is an RNA transcript of Pseudoliparis swirei, 3609 nucleotides long. It is a transcript of the gene named netrin-G2-like, with no coding region annotated. The record is from RefSeq and is a predicted model, not a curated record. Lineage: Eukaryota; Metazoa; Chordata; Actinopteri; Perciformes; Liparidae. The transcript has 10 exons.